Molecule: unclassified non-coding RNA, 380 nt
Filed under: soil metagenome
Description: partial contains 5.8S ribosomal RNA, internal transcribed spacer 2, and large subunit ribosomal RNA
Rfam family: 5.8S ribosomal RNA (bases 1-120)
Source: RNAcentral
GAUGAAGAACGUAGCGAAAUGCGAUAAGUAAUGCGAAUUGCAGAAUUCAGUGAAUCAUCGAAUCUUUGAACGCACCUUGCACCCUUUGGCAUUCUGAAGGGUAUGCUCGUUUGAGUGUCAUUGUACUCUCACACUCCCGAUCUUUGCAUUGGGAGCAGUGGACUUGGGUUUGCUGCUUCACCGUCGCUUACCUCAAAUAGGUUAGUGCAACUCUUGGUUGGACAUAGUACGGCGUGAUAAGUGUUCUUCGCCGGUGCCUCGCAAAGAGGGUGGCCGAUCGGGAUGUUGUGCUCCAAACCGUCUUCGGACAAUCUCUGACGACUUGACCUCAAAUCGAGUAAGACUACCCGCUGAACUUAAGCAUAUCAAUAAGCGGAGGA